AUGAAUGAUAUCCACGGAAGAUUGAAUAAUAUUUCCACUCUCCUAGGGAGUAUGGGGUUGGGUGAAGUGACACCACGGUUUGACAAAAUAGUUAGGCCAGAGACUAGCUCUUUCCCCGAUGAAACAAAAAUAUUUGGUCGUGACAUGGAACUAGAGAAGAUAUUGGGAUUGAUUGGUGCGCCUACACAUAAUAGCACUCACUCAAAGCGCAAGAGGGAAACUGGUGCAGGUGAUGCAUCGAGAAGGAUAUUAGUGAGGAACAAACUUAGUAAUGAAUCAAGAUUACCAGAUCUUCCAGUUUUGCCAAUAGUUGGAAUUGGGGGUGUUGGAAAGACCACUUUGGCUCAGCAUAUCAGUAGUCAUCCACGAGUGAAGUCUCACUUCGACACAAUAAUUUGGAUUUGUGUCUCGGGUGAUUUCGAUGUGAAGAGGUUAACAAAAGAGGCUAUAGAAUCAUAUCCUGGUAAGGAGUCAACGAUUGACAAUCUAAAUUCUCUUCAACAUGCUCUUGCUAACAAAUUGAAGAAUAAAAAGUUCUUGAUUGUCCUCGAUGAUAUGUGGGAUGAUGCUCUGAAGGAAAAUGGCCAGUGCUGGAAGAGGUUUUGUGCACCUUUGAAAAAUGUGCUACUAGGAAGUAUGAUGUUGGUCACCACUAGGUCUCCAAUGGUGGCUAAUUUAGUGCGGUCUAUGGAGCCAAUUAUAUUGGAGGGUUUAAAAGAUGAUGUCUUUUGGGAUUUCUUUAAACUAUGUGUGUUUGGGUCGAAGAGUUCUAAUGAUUUUCCAGAGUUAGAGCUCAUUGGUAAAGACAUACUUCCUAAGUUGAAGGGCUCUCCUUUAGCCGCUAAAACUCUUGGACACAUGUUACAGGAUGACCUUCGUACAUCACAUUGGAAUAGUAUACUAGAGAAUGAAUUGUGGGAGUUAGACCAACGGACGACUGAAAUUUUGCCAGCCCUUCGGUUGAGCUACAUAUAUUUACCAUUUCACUUGAAGAGAUGCUUCUCAUUUUGUGCUGUGUACCCCAAAGAUACGAAGUUUGAAAAGGAUUGUUUAGCCGAAAUCUGGGCGGCAGAAGGCUUUGUGAAACGUCAAGGUGGUAUUCCAAUUCAAGAUAUUGGCUGUCAAUACUUUAAUGACCUUUUAAAUCGGUCCUUCUUUCAAGAAAUUCAAGGUAAAUACUUAAUCCAUGACUUGUUGCAUGAUAUGGCACAGAAAGUUUCAGAGGAUGAUUGUUUCAUCGUGAAAAGAAAGGAUGACUUUAAAAGAAUUCCUCAAAAUGUUCGGCAUUUGUCAGUCCUCUCCAGCACAGACAUUGCCUAUUCCAACUUGUUGAGGCUAGGCCAGUACAAAAAGCUCCGUACCCUUCUUUGCUACAAGUCUUUAGCGAAUAAAAAAACCCCAGCUAGUUUGAUGGAAGAUUGGUGCAGCAAACUUACGCGUAUGCGUGUGAUUGUUUGUGCCUCUAUGAAUGAGUUGCCAGCUAGCAUUGGCAAAUUGAAGCAUCUUCAGUACCUUGAGAUAUCCAGAGCUUGUUCUAUCACCGGUCUUCCUGCAACGAUUUGUCAGCUCCAUAAUUUACAGGUUUUAUGUUUCAAGAGAUGCAAGCUAGAAAGCUUGCCUAGUGACUUCAGUAUGUUGGUCAACUUAUGGAGAUUUGAAUCGCAGGGAUUUAAAUAUGGUCCAAAUAUUGGAAGAUCCCAAAAAGAAGAACCAUAUUAUGGAGUAAAUCUUGAUGCAGACAAUGAUGAGCGGGGACUAGGAUGUAGGCUCAUAAAGAAUAUGAAGCAACUUCGUGGACAUUUGGAGAUAAGUAAUAUUGACAGGCUAAACAAGGAUCAUUCAGAAGAAGCCGAACUAAAGAAUAAGGAAUAUCUUGACAAGCUGACACUUCAAUGGUGUUUCUCGGAGUGCAAAAUGCUUCAUCUAAAAUAUUUCAUUGACACUUCUAUCAGAGCAGAAUGGGAGAUGGAAGUCCUUCCAGAUCUACAACCUCCUACCGGUAUCAAGUCUCUAGUCCUCGACUUUUACCCAGGUCUUUCUCCUCCGAGGUGGUUUCAGCCACAAAACCUGCCAAGCUUAACAUCCGUUUCAUUUCUUCAUUGUGGUGGACUCGAGAUAGCUGCAGAGCUAGUUGACAUCAAUAAUGCCAGCAUUGGUUUUUCCUUCCUGACAGAUCUAAUCAUUAAUGGGUGCCCCCGUUUAUCAAGUCUCGAAGAACUUCUACAUCCAGCUUAUCUACCAGUCAUCAAGAAAAUUGCAAUAAUGCACUGCCGGAACCUAAUAUCAGUACCGACCGAAAGAUUUGGGGAUUUUCGUUGCCUUGAAAUAUUCAGGGUGCUGGAUUGUGGAAAAAUAAACUCCCAAAGUUUGACUGCACCCUCUCUCAAGAAGCUCGUGCUUGGCAAGAAUACAUUCGGCUGGGAUGAAAGUCAUGGGAAUCUCACAGACAAUAUCCAAUGCAGCUCUCUCACCUACUUUUUCUUGUCAUCCAGCCAUCUCACGUCCAUCCAACUUCAAAUGUGGAAUCUUCCAGCUCUACAAGAAUUGAGUAUUUCAUAUUGUCGAUCUCUUACAUCUAUUGGGCAACCUGGGCAGGUCUUCACCAGGGGAAAUGGCAGCGCUAGAGUAUUAUCAUCCCUUACUUCCCUAACCAUCCGCUGGUGCGAAGAACUGUCAACCAUUGAUGGUCUCCUAGAAGAAAAAUAUCUACCUUCCAUUGAGAGUAUUACAAUUGCCAAUUGUGGCAGCUUGUCAAUUCAGGGUAAAAAGUUUGGGGUUUUUUCUUCUCUGAAGGACUUGAAAGUUUCUGGGUGCCCUAGAAUCAAAUGGGGAGGAAUAGUUUUACCAUCGUCCCUCCAAAGUCUCCACUUAAGUGGAUGUGAGGAUGUCUCUUCAUUUAUUCCCAGCUGCCUAGAAAACCUUCAAUCCCUUGUUUCACUAAAGAUAUCAGAGUGUCCUCAUUUAAGAUCCAUUCCAGGCCAUCUUUGGAGCAGUACUCUCUCAUCACUCCAGGAAUUAGAGAUUAUGUUUUGUCCAGACCUUGUGUCUAUUGGUGGAGCAGAAGACAUUUCAGAAUUAAAAAAUGUGCUCAUUGGUUCCUGUAAAAAAUUGAAGGGAAUAGAGCAGUCUGUGAGAAGAGGCAGCUUCUUGGCAUCCAAGAAGCAAGAGCAGCGUGUGAAAACAAGUUCAAAUUCCGUCUGGUGCAUGCCCACGAGGGAUUGGGGAUGGCGCUAG
RNAcentral lists this ribosomal RNA (3234 nucleotides) under Triticum aestivum (bread wheat). RNAcentral's name for it is "partial small subunit ribosomal RNA". Lineage: Eukaryota; Viridiplantae; Streptophyta; Magnoliopsida; Poales; Poaceae. The record is from RNAcentral.